Non-coding RNA from Oncorhynchus mykiss (rainbow trout), 565 nucleotides. The record is from RefSeq and is a predicted model, not a curated record. Lineage: Eukaryota; Metazoa; Chordata; Actinopteri; Salmoniformes; Salmonidae.
GACAGUGUGUUAGGCAGAGGAGUUACAGGUUAGACAGUGUGUUAGGUAGAGGAGGUACAGGUUAGACAAUGUGUUAGGUAGAGAGCUGUACAGGUUAGACAGUGUGUUAGGUAGAGUCCGUACAGGUUAGACAGUGUGUUAGGUAGAGGCUGUACAGGUUAGACAGUGUGUUAGGUUAGACAGUGUGUUAGGUAGAGGAGGUACAGGUUAGACAGUGUGUUAGGUAGAGCUGUACAGGUUAGACAGUGUAUUAGGUAGAGUUGUACAGGUUAGACAGUGUGUUAGGUAGAGACUGUACAGGUUAGACAGUGUGUUAGGUAGAGUCUGUACAGGUUAGACAGUGUGUUAGGUAGAGGCUGUACAGGUUAGACAGUGUGUUAGGUAGAGGCUGUAUAGGUUAGACAGUGUGUUAGGUAGAGACUGUACAGGUUAGACAGUGUGUUAGGUAGAGUCUGUACAGGUUAGAAAAUGUGUGUUAGGUAGAGGCUGUACAGGUUAGACAGUGUGUUACGUAGAGGCUGUAUAGGUUAGACAGUGUGUUAGGUAGAGGCUGUACAGGUUAGAC